Molecule: ribosomal RNA, 253 nt
Filed under: uncultured bacterium
Lineage: Bacteria
Description: partial 16S ribosomal RNA
Rfam family: Bacterial small subunit ribosomal RNA
Source: RNAcentral
UACAGAGGUCUCAAGCGUUGUUCGGAUUCAUUGGGCGUAAAGGGUGCGUAGGUGGCGCUGUAAGUCGGGUGUGAAAUUUCGGAGCUUAACUCCGAAACUGCAUUCGAUACUGCGGUGCUUGAGGACGGGAGAGGAGACUGGAAUUCAUGGUGUAGCAGUGAAAUGCGUAGAGAUCAGGAGGAAGACCAGUGGCGAAGGCGGGUCUCUGGACAGUUCCUGACACUGAGGCACGAAAGCCAGGGGAGCAAACGGG